UACAGAGGUCCCGAGCGUUGUUCGGAUUCACUGGGCGUAAAGGGUGCGUAGGUGGUCGUGAAAGUCUGAUGUGAAAUCUCGGAGCUCAACUCCGAAAUGGCAUUGGAUACUACAUGGCUUGAGAGUCGGAGGGGAGACUGGAAUUCUCGGUGUAGCAGUGAAAUGCGUAGAUAUCGAGAGGAACACCGGUGGCGAAGGCGAGUCUCUGGACGACAUCUGACACUGAGGCACGAAAGCUAGGGGAGCAAACAGG
This 253-nucleotide unclassified non-coding RNA is filed under the name uncultured Verrucomicrobiota bacterium. RNAcentral describes it as "uncultured Verrucomicrobia bacterium contains 16S-23S intergenic spacer region". It matches the Rfam family "Bacterial small subunit ribosomal RNA", at positions 524 to 776 of the family's 1533-position model. The record is from RNAcentral. Lineage: Bacteria; Pseudomonadati; Verrucomicrobiota.